UGCAUAGAAAGGAUUUAAAUAAUGAUUAUUAAGAAUUUCAUUAAUAAUCACUAACGCGCUGACAAAAGAGUCUAUGGUUUGCCGACACUAUUUUGUGCUGGUAUAGGUACCUUUUGUCGGCGGGUUACCCAGAAGGUAUUGGCAAAGGUUGGAAAAUUUUCCCACCAGGACGCGCCAACUUUUUGGUGGCAAAAGUUUUGGAGGGAAAAUUCCCGUGUGCUGAAAUGGAACCAAAAUUUUGGUGAGAAAGGUAAUUGCGCUGGCAAAAGUAUAUCGCACACAAAACUCUGUGUUUCCACUUAUUUUUUAAGUGGGGACUUUUGUCGGUGCCUUUGUUAGCUUUUGCUGGCGCAGCGAAACGUGCCGGCAAAAAUCUCUUAGAAUAAAUCCCCACCCGAGCCCUUUUCUUGCUCCCCUCUUCUCUUUUCUCUUUCUCUCUCCACUGGUCCGAAAACCUCCGCCUCCACCAACGGUGAUAACAGAAGGUUUAUAACUUGUGUGCUGCAGUGAAUAUCUUAAACUUUUGCAAAUUCAUCGUUCGAACUACUAUUACUUCAGUGUCUUGAAUGGAAACAAGUGCCUGCAACAGACAUCCAGACAGUGUUGCACAUAUUGGAUGUAAUAAAACUAUUAUAUUCAUUGCAAAGUUCAUAAAAUUAAUCAUAUUAUAUUCUUAACAAUUAUGAUUUUUUUUUUUCAAUGUUUAAAUGUUUUGCAGAUCAAAUUUACUUAUCCAAAAGACAAUGUUAAAGUCAUGGAUGAGCUUGCUUGUACCAUGAUGAAGGGUCUUUGAGAUUAUAUGGCCGAUUUGAAGGAGGUAUGGAAGAAAAAAGUUAAGGAUAUGGGUGCUGAGAUAGCAAGUAAGAGUCCGACCACAACAGUUACCCAAGAGGAUUGAGAAUUUCUGAUUGCAUACUGGACAACUAAAAAGCAUCAGGCUAAUUCAGAGACUGGGGAGCUUCCAAGUAUCAUUGACACCUUCGAAAAAUUCCAUCACAAAAGUGAAAAUUGGUGAAAUAAGUUUACGAAGAAUAAAUAUGUAAGUUAAAAUUAAUUUUUAGUAAGCUAAUAUAUUAUUUAUGUAUAUUUCUAACUUGAUUUCAAAUUUUAUUUUGACUACUAGGUGGAGAUGUGUUAGAUUCGUAAUUCCUGGCCAGCGCCGACUACCGAGUAUGCUUUUUCUUGCGAUGCUUCACCAACCUCUGCUCCUCGAAACCUACACAUUAUGAUAGAGAUCCUAGGUCAGUGAUCUCGUCACACGAGAGGAUAUAACCAACAACCAAGACUGAAAGCUAUUGGUGGAAAAUGAGCGACUAGCAUCUCUUCUGGUUCGAGUUCCAGUCAGACACAAUAUAGCCUAGAAGAAUUUACUCAACUUCGCAUGCAACUUAAGGAACAACAGAGGCAACAUGAGUAAUGGCAGGGGCAACAAGAGGAACAUCGAAGGCAAGAACAGGGGAAAUUUCAAAGUUAUUUUCAGACACAACAAGUCUGGAUGGCUCAAAUGGCUAAUUUGUGGUCACAAUAUAACCUUGGACAAUUGGCGCCCCCGCUUCCUCAUUAUCCUCCACGAUUCUUUUAGGCACAAGCUCUGCCACCUCCUACUCAGGAUGAUUUUGAUGAUGAUGAUGAUGCUGGUACCACUCGACUCUAGGUUUUAGUAUAUUUCUUAUUUGUAUUGAACUUUAUAUUUAUAAGUUAAAUUUUUUGUACUGAACUUCUUGCUUGUUGCGUGUUAUUUGUUUGUACUGAACUUCAUAAUUAUUCUGUUUAAGUAUU
This is a long non-coding RNA of Humulus lupulus (European hop), 1779 nucleotides long. RefSeq lists it as uncharacterized. Lineage: Eukaryota; Viridiplantae; Streptophyta; Magnoliopsida; Rosales; Cannabaceae. The transcript has 3 exons. The record is from RefSeq and is a predicted model, not a curated record.